UCGGAUAUGGUGUAACGGCUAACAUGACCGCCUUUCAUAUGCCAACCACAGAAAAUGGUGCGCGGUAGCUCGGGGUUCGAUUCCCCGUAUCCGAA
This 95-nucleotide transfer RNA is filed under the name Armillaria luteobubalina. It matches the Rfam family "tRNA". From Rfam's summary of the family: Transfer RNA (tRNA) molecules are approximately 80 nucleotides in length. Their secondary structure includes four short double-helical elements and three loops (D, anti-codon, and T loops). Lineage: Eukaryota; Fungi; Basidiomycota; Agaricomycetes; Agaricales; Physalacriaceae. The record is from Rfam by way of RNAcentral.